AGGAUAAACGCUGGCGGCGUGCCUAACACAUGCAAGUCGAACGCCCUUUUGUGCCGCAAGGUGGAAGAGGGAGUGGCGGACGGGUGAGGAACACGUGGGUGACCUACCUUUCAGUGAGGAAUACCGGCGAGAAAUCGCCGACAAGACCGCAUACGCUUCUCUAUUCGCAGAGGGAAGGAAAGCUUCACGAGAGUGAGGCGCUGGAAGAUGGGCCUGCGGCCGAUUAGCUAGCUGGUGGGGUAAUGGCCUACCAGGGCGACUAUCGGUAGCUGGUCUGAGAGGACGAUCAGCCACACUGGGAUUGAGAACGGCCCAGACUCCUACGGGGGGCAGCAGUGAGGAAUUUUCGGCAAUGGGGGCAACCCUGACCGAGCAACGCCGCGUGCAGGAGGAGGUUUUCGGAUCGUAAACUGCUUUUCUGUGGGAAGAGAACGGACGGUACCACAGGAACGAAGCCCCGGCUAACUACGUGCCAGCAGCCGC
Molecule: ribosomal RNA, 483 nt
Filed under: uncultured bacterium
Lineage: Bacteria
Description: SSU rRNA
Rfam family: Bacterial small subunit ribosomal RNA
Source: RNAcentral